This 763-nucleotide ribosomal RNA is filed under the name uncultured fungus. RNAcentral describes it as "LSU rRNA". It matches the Rfam family "Eukaryotic large subunit ribosomal RNA", at positions 66 to 846 of the family's 3401-position model. Lineage: Eukaryota; Fungi. The record is from RNAcentral.
CAACAGGGAUUGCCCUAGUAACGGCGAGUGAAGCGGCAACAGCUCAAAUUUGAAAUCUGGCUCUUUUAGAGUCCGAGUUGUAAUUUGCAGAGGGCGCUUUGGCUUUGGCAGCGGUCCAAGUUCCUUGGAACAGGACGUCACAGAGGGUGAGAAUCCCGUACGUGGUCGCUGGCUAUUGCCGUGUAAAGCCCCUUCGACGAGUCGAGUUGUUUGGGAAUGCAGCUCUAAAUGGGAGGUACAUUUCUUCUAAAGCUAAAUAUUGGCCAGAGACCGAUAGCGCACAAGUAGAGUGAUCGAAAGAUGAAAAGCACUUUGGAAAGAGAGUCAAACAGCACGUGAAAUUGUUGAAAGGGAAGCGCUUGCAGCCAGACUUGCUUACAGUUGCUCAUCCGGGUUUCUACCCGGUGCACUCUUCUGUAGGCAGGCCAGCAUCAGUUUGGGCGGUAGGAUAAAGGUCUCUGUCACGUACCUCCUUUCGGGGAGGCCUUAUAGGGGAGACGACAUACUACCAGCCUGGACUGAGGUCCGCGCAUCUGCUAGGAUGCUGGCGUAAUGGCUGUAAGCGGCCCGUCUUGAAACACGGACCAAGGAGUCUAACAUCUAUGCGAGUGUCUGGGUGUCAAGCCCGAGCGCGUAAUGAAAGUGAACGGAGGUGGGAACCCGCAAGGGUGCACCAUCGACCGAUCCUGAUGUCUUCGGAAGGAUUUGAGUAAGAGCAUGGCUGUUGGGACCCGAAAAGAUGGUGAACUAUGCUUGAAUAGGG